RNAcentral lists this ribosomal RNA (512 nucleotides) under uncultured bacterium. Its description in RNAcentral is "partial 16S ribosomal RNA". It matches the Rfam family "Bacterial small subunit ribosomal RNA", at positions 28 to 507 of the family's 1533-position model. The record is from RNAcentral.
GAUGAACGCUGGCGGCGUGCCUAAUACAUGCAAGUCGAACGAAACUUCUUUAUCACCGAGUGCUUGCACUCACCGAUAAAGAGUUGAGUGGCGAACGGGUGAGUAACACGUGGGCAACCUGCCCAAAAGAGGGGGAUAACACUUGGAAACAGGUGCUAAUACCGCAUAACCAUAGUUACCGCAUGGUAACUAUGUAAAAGGUGGCUAUACUACCGCUUUUGGAUGGGCCCGCGGCGCAUUAGCUAGUUGGUAGGGUAAAGGCUUACCAAGGCAAUGAUGCGUAGCCGAAUUGAGAGGUUGAUCGGCCACAUUGGGACUGAGAUACGGCCCAAACUCCUACGGGAGGCAGCAGUAGGGAAUCUUCCACAAUGGGCGAAAGCCUGAUGGAGCAACGCCGCGUGGGUGAAGAAGGUCUUCGGAUCGUAAAACCCUGUUGUUAGAGAAGAAAGUGCGUGAGAGUAACUGUUCACGUUUCGACGGUAUCUAACCAGAAAGCCACGGCUAACUACGUG